This 68-nucleotide transfer RNA is filed under the name Marmota monax (woodchuck). RNAcentral's name for it is "tRNA.Ala". The stretch from base 5 to 65 matches the Rfam family "tRNA", at positions 6 to 65 of the family's 71-position model. From Rfam's summary of the family: Transfer RNA (tRNA) molecules are approximately 80 nucleotides in length. The record is from RNAcentral. Lineage: Eukaryota; Metazoa; Chordata; Mammalia; Rodentia; Sciuridae.
GGAUUAUGGCUCAAUGGUUGAGCACUUGUCUGGCAUGUGUGAGGCACUGGGUUCAAUUCUCAGUACCA